GUAAGGAAUAUUGGACAAUGGACGCAAGUCUGAUCCAGCCAUGCCGCGUGAAGGAUGAAUGCCCUCUGGGUUGUAAACUUCUUUUAUAGGGGAAGAAAGAUACUUUUUUUAAGGUAGUUGACGGUACCCUAUGAAUAAGCACCGGCUAACUCCGUGCCAGCAGCCACGGUAAUACGGAGGGUGCAAGCGUUAUCCGGAUUUACUGGGUUUAAAGGGUGCGUAGGCGGGCAUGUAAGUCAGUGGUGAAAUACCGGAGCUUAACUUCGGAACUGCCAUUGAUACUAUAUGUCUUGGAUAUUGUGGAGGUAAGCGGAAUAUGUCAUGUAGCGGUGAAAUGCAUAGAUAUGACAUAGAACACCGAUUGCGGAGGCAGCUUGCUACGCAAAUAUUGACGCUGAGGCACGAAAGCGUGGGGAUCAAACA
Molecule: ribosomal RNA, 423 nt
Filed under: uncultured bacterium
Lineage: Bacteria
Description: bacterial SSU rRNA
Rfam family: Bacterial small subunit ribosomal RNA
Source: RNAcentral